GUAGUAAAGCUGCAGUAUUAUCUUGAUCAAUUCUGGUGUUAUACGUAAGUGCAUAGCAUGAACCUUUCCUCACAAAGCAGUCAAUGAAUUCGUGACUGAGCAGCUGGUGGACGGAGAGACUCCUCACCACGUAGUACUCCCCAAUGUCUGCAACAGCGCCUUUCAGCACUUCGGGCAGCAGGCCGCACUCAGGGAUCAGCACAGACACGCGGCAGUUGUAGGCGUGGUCCCGCACGUGCACCGCGUGGCGGGAGCGCGCAUGCCGCGCGUUGCCCUUCUCGCACACCAGCAGGUGCCGGGGCGCCUGCUGCAGGCGCCGCAGCGGCACCGACAUUCUCCACCGCAACCUCCGAUGGAACCACCACCUCGCCGCGCGCGACCCGCCGCUCGGCAGAGAUGCGAGGCGUGGGGAACUCCGUGCGUG
Molecule: long non-coding RNA, 424 nt
Filed under: Gallus gallus (chicken)
Lineage: Eukaryota; Metazoa; Chordata; Aves; Galliformes; Phasianidae
Source: RNAcentral